Molecule: long non-coding RNA, 1649 nt
Filed under: Bemisia tabaci
Lineage: Eukaryota; Metazoa; Arthropoda; Insecta; Hemiptera; Aleyrodidae
Description: lncRNA ENSSSA2NGG010532
Source: RNAcentral
GUCCUUCUCAUGCGGCUCCUUCAGUAAUAGUGGCCAAAAUUAUGGAGCGACUUCGAGAGAAGGAACGCGAACGAGAGGCCGACUUCUCCAUUCGGCGAGCGAGCAGACACAGCCGACCCAGCUCAACGUCUUCUGACAAAUCAGCCUCCAUGGAAAAACACCAAGGCCGAUUCAACAAAGCAGCGCGCAACAUCUUGACCAAAGUCAAGUGUACUCCUGGGAGCGUUUUAACACCAGACAACCGGCGUUGGUUGGACAGUCAAGGGGACAAGUCACCAGAUGUGCCAAGACGGAUAAUAAUCGGUCAACGCUCUUUUACCUUUAGUAGAGACGGUGAUCUCAUUGAGUCACCCCCUUCUAGUCUUACAGAUAGUGACAGCCGUUGGACAAGUAGCACAGAAGCUCACAAGCCUACAAUAGAUGCAGAUCAUAGUAGAUUUUUAUUUCCAUCAAUAGCAGAAGAUCAAAAAUCACACGAAGGCACCACCCCAGAAGGAAUAGCCCCGGUAGCAAACAGUUUCUAAGUGAGGAACUGGAUAGUGGUAUAGUUGAAGGCCUCAACAGUCCGCUCAACAAUAUAACUGUUCAAACAAGCCUGGAUAGCUGUAUGGAUAAUUAUAGUUGUGAAGGAAAAGACUCCUUAGCUGCAGAUCAGAGCACUCUGAAUGCAGUAGUCAAUAAUUUUAGUGAUAGCAAUGCAAAUAUUUUGGUAAGCUCCUCAAACGCUGAAAUAAUAUCUGCAUCAUCACCAAGAAUAUUAAUCAGUUAGUUUUAAGUGGAGACGAACAGAAUUUAACCAAUUGUCUCCUCAAUCCUCAAGCUGAUGUGCUGAACAACAAUCCACGUGUAAUCAUCUAUGAACCAAAUCCAUUUGAAGAAGCAUUUCAGUCUCAGAGCCCUGUUAUUGACUUCUCGAGUGAUCAAAAGACUGAUAAAGUUAUAGAUUUGAAGUCAAGAAGUAUGUUAGAUCCUCCCAUAUCAUCUCCGAGUGGACCGAGGUCAUUACAAGAAGAGCUUGAAAGCGAGGAUCAAAGUUAUUUUAGCUACACAAACCUGAGAAAAACUCCGCCUCAAACUCCAGGAUCCAUUUCUCCAAGUCCAGAACGAGAAUUGGAAGAGCUAUUAUCUGUCGUCCAGCCUUAUAAUGAUCGCAACCCAUCGAAACAUGACUCUUUCUCAGAGUCAAGUGUCCUUUAUGAUAAUAUAAUUAAUUUUCCACGAAGAUUGAGUAGUUUCUGUGAAUCACUGGAUCAUGUCAUCGAUUCCCUGGAAAAAAUCAUGCAUCCUCUCGAACAAACCUGCGAUUCAGCAACUGAGUCUGACGCUGCCUCAACAUCUGGCAACUUUUGGAAGAACAAAUCAAUUGAGCAUCAGUAUGAAGAAUUGUGCACCUUAGGAUUCCAGUUACAGGAGAUCGGUAUUGAUUUGGAAAUCAUGUCUAAAGAGGAAUUCAAAGCCCUGGAUUCCAGUCAAAGAUGUGCUCUUCAGUGCACAGUCGUUCGUCAAGCAUUGAAUGCCUAUCUAAUGCAGUUAAACUCUGAUGAGACUAAUGCUGAGCUAAAAUCAUGCAUCAGGCCUGAAGUUCAGAAAGUGUCCGAUUUACUUGACACAAAUGAAGAUGCUCAAAAUUAGCAGCUGUUGUAAAGCAG